AAUUAUGGCCAGCUGCUUCUUAGGAAAAAAAAAAAGGACUGCAUUUACUGUAGGUCCUGCUUUGUAUUUGCCCCAAAUCCCAGCCACGUGUUUCUCCUGCCCACAGUAGAGAGCCAUGGAAAUAGACAGCAUCAUAAAACAGAUAUUUCAAGGCUGUGUGAGCCCCGCCCCACCCUUUCUGGAAGGCGAGGCAUUGGCGACAUUUAACCACCUGUAAGGGCUGAGCUCCUUCAUAGCUGCUGCUCCUUUUCUGAACAAACAGCCAAGCUCAGCUGGGAGGCAUCCUUAAAGGUCAGCUCCUCCUCCCUCCAAAGCUUGAAUUUCUCCCCAUGCAUCACUAGUUGUGCCUUUUUUUUCCUGCAAAACCAGUCACCACACUUGAAGCAGACUGAGCACCCACUGCCCAUGGGGUAGGAAGAGUGGUAAUACAAUGGCUGGAGGUCUGGCCCCAUGAGCUGGGUCCUCCUGUAGUAUUUUCAAGCUUGGAAAAGGUACAGCACUGAGAUAAGGGGAAGAAACCCUAGCCACAGAGCUCAAGCUGAGAGCGGGGCUCGGAGGCCCUGCCUCCUGUUGGUCCCCAAGGCUGCCCCCAGACUGGGGAGGGGCUCUCCAGGUGAUUUUGAUUUGGCUGUCUGGAUGCUGAAGAAUUCCUUUAUUUAUUUAUUUUUAGUCCUUGACGUUCAAUAAUGGCUCACUAUUACUUUGGUUUGAACAGAAGUUCGUUUUAAGAACCUUGAAGGAAACAACGUGUCCAAAGCAGAGGGCUUGGUCAGCUGUGAGACGUAUGGAAAAGAGAGCAUCACCAAGGAUCCCUUUAUCUUUUAUCCCAUACCAGCUCUGCCCCCAGGAGUGGGAGAUUUCACCAUCAGACUCCAGAAAUUCUGGUCCCAAAGGCAAGAUGUCCCUACUGUGAGCCUGAUGUUUAAACAUGAAGUUCACCUGACUCCCCCUCUUCUGAUUUCAUGUCCUCAUGGCAAUUUUCUGGUGCCAGUGAAGGGCUGCUCAUGUAGAGAGAGAAUGCAAAAAAAAAAAAAAAAAAAAAAAAAAAAAAUAC
RNAcentral lists this long non-coding RNA (1054 nucleotides) under Equus asinus (donkey). RNAcentral's name for it is "lncRNA (ENSEASG00005032452.1)". Lineage: Eukaryota; Metazoa; Chordata; Mammalia; Perissodactyla; Equidae. The record is from RNAcentral.